Chelatococcus sp. CO-6 is the source of this 356-nucleotide non-coding RNA. The record is from Rfam. NCBI's taxonomy places the organism in Bacteria, Pseudomonadati, Pseudomonadota, Alphaproteobacteria, Hyphomicrobiales, Chelatococcaceae.
GGCCUUCCAUCGGGCCGAGAAGGUCCCUAUAUUCUGGGUGCCGUCGCAAGGCGGCUAUGGCGAUAAACGGCCAUCGCAAUAAACCCAUCGGACCCGGGGGCGGUACCCGGCGCCUCCACCCAAACGCGAGCGGGCCUCGCGUUUCGGCGGGGGCGAAAUAGGAUCGACGAGGGUGUAAAGGGUGCGCUUUCGCUCGGCAUGGUUCCGCCGUUAUCGGGCCGAACUUAUAGUUGCCAACGACAACUAUGCUCCGGUCGCCGCGGCUGCGUAACGCAGCUUAGGUUACCGAUCCAAAGUCCUGACGGUUAGCCCCGGCAGGCGGGGUUCGGAGGCACCUGGCAACAGAAGCCUCCACU